GACGAACGCUGGCGGCGUGCUUAAUACAUGCAAGUCGAACGCAGUGGGGACGGGUGAGUAACACGUGGGUAACCUCCCAUCAGAGGGGAGAACACUUGGAAACAGGUGCUAAACCGAUACUGAUGGAUGGACCCGGGGUGCAUUAGCUAGUUGGGGAGGUAACGGCCCACCAAGGCCACGAUGCAUAGCCGACCUGAGAGGGUGAUCGGCAACACUGGAACUGAGACACGGCCCAGACUCCUACGGGAGGCAGAAGUAGGGAAUCUUCGGCAAUGGACGAAAGUCUGACCGAGCAACGCCGCGUGAGUGAAGAAGGUUUUCGGAUCGUAAAGCUCGUUUGUUAGAGAGGCGGUAUCUAACCAGAAAGCCACGGCUAACUACGUGCCAGCAGCCGCGGUAAUUC
This 403-nucleotide ribosomal RNA is filed under the name uncultured bacterium. RNAcentral describes it as "partial 16S ribosomal RNA". It matches the Rfam family "Bacterial small subunit ribosomal RNA", at positions 28 to 526 of the family's 1533-position model. The record is from RNAcentral.